CCAGACUCCUACGGGAGGCAGCAGUGGGGAAUAUUGCGCAAUGGGCGAAAGCCUGACGCAGCGACGCCGCGUGAGGGAUGAAGGUUCUCGGAUCGUAAACCUCUGUCAGAAGGGAAGAAAUUAUAUCAUGCUAAUCAGUGGUGUAUUGACGGUACCUUCAAAGGAAGCACCGGCUAACUCCGUGCCAGCAGCCGCGGUAAUACGGAGGGUGCGAGCGUUAAUCGGAAUUACUGGGCGUAAAGCGCACGUAGGCUGUAUGACAAGUCAAGGGUGAAAUGCCACGGCUCAACCGUGGAACUGCCUUUGAAACUGUCAAACUGGAGUAUGUGAGAGGGCGGCGGAAUUCCUGGUGUAGGAGUGAAAUCCGUAGAUAUCAGGAGGAACAUCAGUGGCGAAGGCGGCCGCCUGGCACAAAACUGACGCUGAGGUGCGAAAGCGUGGGUAGCAAACAGGAUUAGAUACCCCAGUA
This 469-nucleotide ribosomal RNA is filed under the name uncultured bacterium. RNAcentral describes it as "bacterial SSU rRNA". It matches the Rfam family "Bacterial small subunit ribosomal RNA", at positions 331 to 792 of the family's 1533-position model. The record is from RNAcentral.